RNAcentral lists this long non-coding RNA (246 nucleotides) under Elaeis guineensis (African oil palm). RNAcentral's name for it is "long non-coding RNA (EGUI_LNC082711)". Lineage: Eukaryota; Viridiplantae; Streptophyta; Magnoliopsida; Arecales; Arecaceae. The record is from RNAcentral.
CAUUGUAGUGGAUGUUGGCAACAGUUGGUCUACUGUAGAAGUGGAGUGUGCAUCAAGAUGGGAUCUAUCGAUCCUAGCAAAAGGGAGUAGUCCUGUGAGAUUUAAGAGGCUGAGUCCUUAAGUCUAUAGUCAUAGCAGUAUGAUUGAUGAAAAAAAUUUUCAUAGAAUCAUAUAUGGACUUAAGCUGAUUGAAUCUAUCAUAUGACCGAUAUUGAGGUUUGACGAUUUAUCCAUGACCUGCCAUCU